Thamnophis elegans (Western terrestrial garter snake) is the source of this 764-nucleotide long non-coding RNA. RefSeq lists it as uncharacterized. The transcript has 2 exons. NCBI's taxonomy places the organism in Eukaryota, Metazoa, Chordata, Lepidosauria, Squamata, Natricidae. The record is from RefSeq and is a predicted model, not a curated record.
GCCGAUGGUAUCGUCCCUUUCAGCCUUGAUAGCAAGCGGGAUACCGACGUGAAACAAAGAAUAACGUCGUGGAACAAGAGCAUUCGAGAAGGUCGGUCGGGCCGCGAGCGGCUUCAAUGCAGGCAGCAAGGAAAGAAACACACCUCCCUCCCUUAUCGGCUUUUUCCAUCUUCGGUUCACCGCGAGCAGAUCGCUGCAAUGUGGUGACUCAGAAGGGGCGGGGCUACGGUCUGUUUCUCCUUCUUGAGGAGUGACUCAUCAGUGACCGCGGAAAGCCUACUCCAAAGGAAAGCGCAUUAUCUCUUGACUAUUUAUAGGCCCCGAAAAGGCUGAAGAAUGACGUCAGGCGAACGGUUCCUAAGGCACAUUUCUUCAACAUGGUGUCCGGUUGGAUCUUGGAUUCCCAUAUCAUCUGCGCAGGAUCCUGGAAUGCCACUUUUGGACCAUGAGAAGCAACUGCUUGAAAUGCAGAAAUGAGUUGGGCUUGCAUAAAACUAAAGAACUUACAUGAUUCUGUACGAUUAUGGCAUUUCCCUCUGGAAGUCUUCAUAAAAACUUCUGUGUCUCUGCCAUUAAAGAAGUGCAACCUUUUGAAGCCAGGAAAGACUCAACUAUUAAUAUGAUACUGCCUGUGUACUUAAUAAUAUUUUCCAUCAUAUUGAUACAUUUUUAUCAACAACUUUUGGAGCAGCGUUCAAGGCAGGGUUCUGAAUGUUUGGAAUAAAAGAAGAUGAGGAGACAAAAUCCUUAUCAGGUUCAUUCAA